UACGUAGGUCGCGAGCGUUGUCCGGAUUUAUUGGGCGUAAAGAGCUCGUAGGCGGCUUGUCGCGUCGUCCGUGAAAACCUGCAGCUCAACUGGAGGCUUGCGGGCGAUACGGGCAGGCUAGAGUUCGGUAGGGGAGACUGGAAUUCCUGGUGUAGCGGUGAAAUGCGCAGAUAUCAGGAGGAACACCGGUGGCGAAGGCGGGUCUCUGGGCCGAUACUGACGCUGAGGAGCGAAAGCGUGGGGAGCGAACCGG
This 253-nucleotide ribosomal RNA is filed under the name uncultured bacterium. RNAcentral's name for it is "partial 16S ribosomal RNA". It matches the Rfam family "Bacterial small subunit ribosomal RNA", at positions 524 to 776 of the family's 1533-position model. The record is from RNAcentral.